RNAcentral lists this ribosomal RNA (547 nucleotides) under uncultured bacterium. RNAcentral describes it as "bacterial SSU rRNA". It matches the Rfam family "Bacterial small subunit ribosomal RNA", at positions 355 to 896 of the family's 1533-position model. The record is from RNAcentral.
UGGGGAAUAUUGCGCAAUGGGGGGAACCCUGACGCAGCCAUGCCGCGUGAAUGAAGAAGGCCUUAGGGUUGUAAAGUUCUUUCGGUAUUGAGGAAGGUUGAUGUGUUAAUAGCACAUCAAAUUGACGUUAAAUACAGAAGAAGCACCGGCUAACUCCGUGCCAGCAGCCGCGGUAAUACGGAGGGUGCGAGCGUUAAUCGGAAUAACUGGGCGUAAAGGGCACGCAGGCGGUUAUUUAAGUGAGGUGUGAAAGCCCCGGGCUUAACCUGGGAAUUGCAUUUCAGACUGGGUAACUAGAGUACUUUAGGGAGGGGUAGAAUUCCACGUGUAGCGAUGAAAUGCGUAGAGAUGUGGAGGAAUACCGAAGGCGAAGGCAGCCCCUUGGGAAUGUACUGACGCUCAUGUGCGAAAGCGUGGGGAGCAAACAGGAUUAGAUACCCUGGUAGUCCACGCUGUAAACGCUGUCGAUUUGGGGGUUGGGGUUUAACUCUGGCGCCCGUAGCUAACGUGAUAAAUCGACCGCCUGGGGAGUACGGCCGCAAGGUUA